CACCGGCACCGAGGGACCCUGCCAGGCUGCGGGAUCGCCUUCCCGGAGGAAGAUGUCUUGAAGUAAAAAAGCCUGGGCUGUGACACAACAGCACUGGGAGCAGUGGGCAGCUGGCCCUGCUGUGAAGGUCUCUGCUGGUUGUUGAUGUCCAGCCCCUGAUGUGAGAGCUCUUCACAAGCCCUGUGGAGGGCACUGAGACGGCAGAGCAGGAGAAUCUGCUGGGUGCUGCUGCUGGAAACAUCUCUGAGGCAGAAGGACUCCAACAAAACACCUGAGCUUGAGGAUUUUGUGUAGACACAAGGUUUUUCUGCUGUUACAAAGUGGUAACAGUUAAAGUGUUUUAUUACAUGUACAUUAAAAUAUUAAAAA
Non-coding RNA from Sturnus vulgaris (Common starling), 369 nucleotides. Lineage: Eukaryota; Metazoa; Chordata; Aves; Passeriformes; Sturnidae. The record is from RefSeq and is a predicted model, not a curated record.